Molecule: long non-coding RNA, 960 nt
Organism: Empidonax traillii (willow flycatcher)
Lineage: Eukaryota; Metazoa; Chordata; Aves; Passeriformes; Tyrannidae
Exons: 2
Source: RefSeq, a predicted model, not a curated record
GGAAUACCUGGGAAAAAGAAAAAAGGGGGGAACACAGACAUUUAGUAUUUCUCUCCAAUGGGAUUCAAAAUAUCUCCACUCCCAAUACAGCAGAGCUGCAGUUUCUGUUCUUGAAACUGCCUCUCUGCUGAGUUUUUGCAUGUAUUUUAAUACUGUCAGUAGUUGUAGCACAGUUUGGGAGGGAGGUACCUGGUCAUGUCUGCAAGAUAUUUUUGUCAGCCCUAAUGUAGCAAAUUGGUCACUCCCAGUAACUCCUCUCUGCCCCUGGCAAGCAUGACAACCUUUAAAAACUUCGAUUAUGGGAAACAAAACCCUCUCAUUUGUUUUAAAGACCAGUAAAUGGCAGUGGGAUCAGGUCAGCUCGUGGAUACCCACAGCCCUUGGAAUACCCACAUCAGCAGGGCCUUGUGAUUUGUCCCUUGAAUGACAGCAAGAAUCCUUUCCAGCUUCUCCCUUGUGAUAUGAUCUGCAAAUAUUAAGGCAGAAACAAAGUCUCAAUUAUCCAUCCAGAAACUGGGAAGAGACAGCAGCCUAAAAUGUGCCACCGAGGUAUUGCUGCCCCUUGGGCAGCCACAUCAAAAGGGGCUGAUGAGAGGUGGCCUCAGCAGAGCCACUUUCCCUGGCUGUACAUGGAGCAGCACAGCACUGGACUGCAAAGGGAAGGGUUACUUUGCCUAAUUGAUUUCCAGAUGUUGAUGCUCCAGUUUGUCUUAUCGGGUGUUUGAACAGAGUUUCAUUCAAUGAAAGCUUUUAACUGCUAUCACCAAGUGUGAUUUACAGAGAUCUGGGUCUUGACCAACCCAGCAGCAAUGAGUAUGGCCAGCACUUAUACUGGCUUUUUAUAUAUUGUGUUAUAUUUAGAUCAAUAACAAACAGAAAGCAUGUAAGGAGCAGCUUCUGUUGUGCAAUUCACCUGGCUAAAUGCUUUGCAGUUAGUGUGCUGUUUGGUGUUCUGUGUUU